Molecule: ribosomal RNA, 301 nt
Filed under: uncultured bacterium
Lineage: Bacteria
Description: partial 16S ribosomal RNA
Rfam family: Bacterial small subunit ribosomal RNA
Source: RNAcentral
CAGUCGCCGCGGUAAUACGUAGGGGGCAAGCGUUGUCCGGAAUUAUUGGGCGUAAAGCGCGCGCAGGCGGUCAUUUAAGUCUGGUGUUUAAUCCCGGGGCUCAACCCCGGAUCGCACUGGAAACUGGGUGACUUGAGUGCAGAAGAGGAGAGUGGAAUUCCACGUGUAGCGGUGAAAUGCGUAGAUAUGUGGAGGAACACCAGUGGCGAAGGCGACUCUCUGGGCUGUAACUGACGUUGAGGCGCGAAAGCGUGGGGAGCAAACAGGAUUAGAUACCCCCGUAGUCCCUGUCUCUUAUACA